AGGCUGCAGGCUUCAGCAGGACAGAGAUGGCUAUGCUAAACCAAGCCUGUGUUAAUGAGACAGCUCUGCAGGGAUGAGAAGAACACACACAGAGCAAGUUUGAAGACGUCUUCUGGCCCCCCAAAGGCUUUCAGUCGGUCUCUUCUAAGCAAGAAGGCAAAUACCGAAGAGCUUCUGAUGUUUUGCAAAUUCACCAGGUGGAGUAUCUGUCUGUCUGUCUUUGGGAUAUGCCAAAAGAUGACAACGACGGUGGAGCAGAAGAGCGUUUGACUUUCACCAGCGAGCCCCUCUGUUUGACAUCAUGUUUUCUUAAUGAGAGCCAGCUGCCCCCAACAUCAGCAUUCUCCUUCAUACCAGCAUGAAAAAACAUGAAAGUUAGAACUUUAAACAUGUCCAGAUUCCUUUGUACGCCAUGGGCAGUAUUAGCCUGCUCGUCAGCAUUACAAUCAAUGGUGCCUGUGAUCAUCAAGGGUGGAAAUGAGCGCUUAGCCUU
Molecule: long non-coding RNA, 493 nt
Organism: Oreochromis aureus
Lineage: Eukaryota; Metazoa; Chordata; Actinopteri; Cichliformes; Cichlidae
Source: Ensembl